CCUACGGGAGGCAGCAGUGGGGAAUAUUGGGCAAUGGGCGCAAGCCUGACCCAGCAACGCCGCGUGAAGGAAGAAGGUUUUCGGGUUGUAAACUUCUUUUAAGAGGGAAGAGCAGAAGACGGUACCUCUUGAAUAAGCCACGGCUAACUACGUGCCAGCAGCCGCGGUAAUACGUAGGUGGCAAGCGUUGUCCGGAUUUACUGGGUGUAAAGGGCGUGCAGCCGGGAAGACAAGUCAGAUGUGAAAUCCCGGGGCUCAACCGCGGAACUGCAUUUGAAACUGUUUUUCUUGAGUACCGGAGAGGUCAUCGGAAUUCCUUGUGUAGCGGUGAAAUGCGUAGAUAUAAGGAAGAACACCAGUGGCGAAGGCGGAUGACUGGACGGCAACUGACGGUGAGGCGCGAAAGCGUGGGGAGCAAACAGGAUUAGAUACCCGUGUAGUC
RNAcentral lists this ribosomal RNA (442 nucleotides) under uncultured bacterium. RNAcentral describes it as "partial 16S ribosomal RNA". It matches the Rfam family "Bacterial small subunit ribosomal RNA", at positions 338 to 795 of the family's 1533-position model. The record is from RNAcentral.